GGGCCACCGAGAGGCAGAACGUGCGAACUUAACCACUGCGCCAUCGGUCCAGCCCCUAAUGUAGAUUCUUUUUCUUUUCCCCAACUGUUGCCAAUCUUUUUUUUUUUUUUUUCUGCUUUAUCUCCCCCAACCCUCCCUGUACACAGUUGUAUAUCUUAGUUGCACGUCCUUCUAGUUGUGGGAUGUGGGACGCCGCCUCAACGUGGCCUGACGAGCGGUGCCAUGUCCGUGCCCAGAAUCCAAACCCUGGGCCACCGCAGCGGAGCGCGCGAACUUAAUCACUCGGCCACGGAGCCAGCCCCCCCAAUGUAGAUUCUUAAUGAAGAGAUGAAGAAACUGAGGCACAGAGGAGUGAAAUCAUUGGCUCAGUGCCCCACAUCUCUCUCCAGAAAAGGAAGAGGAAGACGGAGCAUGGGCAGGUCACGGCUGGAGAGGGAGACGGGGUCCGAAGUUGCUGACGGAGAUAAGAGAAUGGGGAUUCAGGCAAUGGUGGGAACCAAGGUGAGGCCGAGGGACCGGCCCCUGACGAUGAGCGGGGACGGGAUGGGGGCCUGGAGAGUGAGGGAUGUGAUCGAUUCCCCCCAGAGCACCAAAGGGACCCGCAGACAGAAGCGAAGGUUGAAGUCAGGGGACGGGAAUGUCGAGCCGGGGAGGCGGCCGUGGGUGAUGGGACGCAGGCUCUGCGGCUCCCGGGGAGGCGGGAACAGCGAGCAUCCCCGUCCCCUGCCUCCGGGUGGCCCUGCCCCUCCCUGGGCCGUGUCACCGUGCAGCUCCUCCCGUCGACAGAUGGAAUCUGCUUCCCCAGCCCCCGAACUGGACCCCGCAGCUCGCGGUGGCCGGUCGAACGCAGCCAGGCGAGCGUGUCCGGGUUCCCAGACGACGCCUUCAGGGCCUCUGAGGGUUUCUCUUCUCGCUCUGGCUUCUCUGCCUCCUCCGCAAGAACAUGCCCGGGCCGGCCCGCGGCGGGGUGCGGGAUGCGAGGGAAAGGUCGAGAAGAACUGAGUCAUCCCGGCUGGAGUCAUCCUCGACCAGCCGGCCUCUCGAGGGCCCGCCAGACGACGGCAGCUUCAUGAGCGAGCUCCGCCGGGGUCCACAGAGCCUGGCCCGGAUUAGCAGAACUGUCCAGAGGACCCAAAGAGACAUGAGAAAAAAAUAAAUGGUCGGGGGCCAGCCUGGCAGCAGAGGGGUUAGGUUUGCACACUCUGCUUUGGCAGCUGGGGGUUUGCCAGUUCGGAUCCUGGGCGUGGACCUAGCACCACUCGUCAAGCCACGCUGUGGCGGUGACCCACAUAAAAUAGAGGAAGAUCAGCAUAGAUGUUAGCUCAGUGCCAAUCUUCCUCAAGCAGAAAGAGGAAGAUUGGCAAGAAGUGUUAGCUCACGGCCAAUCUUCCUCACCAAAAAAAAAAAAAAAAAAAAGGGAGUCGGGCAUGGUCAAAGAAUAAGAGCUUCAGAGCUCGUGCCACUUGCUAGCUGAUAGCUGUUAUUAUCGUUUAAAUAAAGGAACGGUGGUCUUAAUUCUGG
Molecule: long non-coding RNA, 1521 nt
Filed under: Equus caballus (horse)
Lineage: Eukaryota; Metazoa; Chordata; Mammalia; Perissodactyla; Equidae
Description: lncRNA (ENSECAG00000047924.1)
Source: RNAcentral